Molecule: ribosomal RNA, 433 nt
Filed under: uncultured bacterium
Lineage: Bacteria
Description: partial 16S ribosomal RNA
Rfam family: Bacterial small subunit ribosomal RNA
Source: RNAcentral
AACGAACGCUGGCGGCAGGCCUAACACAUGCAAGUCGAGCGAGGACUUCGGUCCUAGCGGCGGACGGGUGAGUAACGCGUGGGAACGUGCCCUUUGCUUCGGAAUAGCCCUGGGAAACUGGGAGUAAUACCGGAUGAGCCCUUUGGGGGAAAGAUUUAUCGGCGAAGGAUCGGCCCGCGUUGGAUUAGGUAGUUGGUGGGGUAAUGGCCUACCAAGCCGUCGAUCCAUAGCUGGUUUGAGAGGAUGAUCAGCCACACUGGGACUGAGACACGGCCCAGACUCCUACGGGAGGCAGCAGUGGGGAAUCUUAGAAAAUGGGGGAAACCCUGAUCUAGCCAUGCCGCGUGAGCGAUGAAGGCCUUAGGGUUGUAAAGCUCUUUCAGCUGGGAAGAUAAUGACGGUACCAGCAGAAGAAGCCCCGGCUAACUCCGUG